RNAcentral lists this ribosomal RNA (468 nucleotides) under uncultured bacterium. RNAcentral's name for it is "partial 16S ribosomal RNA". It matches the Rfam family "Bacterial small subunit ribosomal RNA", at positions 28 to 507 of the family's 1533-position model. The record is from RNAcentral.
GACGAACGCUGGCGGCGUGCUUAACACAUGCAAGUCGAACGGAAAGGCCCUGCUUUUGUGGGGUGCUCGAGUGGCGAACGGGUGAGUAACACGUGAGUAACCUGCCCUUGACUUUGGGAUAACUUCAGGAAACUGGGGCUAAUACCGGAUAGGAGCUCCUGCUGCAUGGUGGGGGUUGGAAAGUUUCGGCGGUUGGGGAUGGACUCGCGGCUUAUCAGCUUGUUGGUGGGGUAGUGGCUUACCAAGGCUUUGACGGGUAGCCGGCCUGGGAGGGUGACCGGCCACAUUGGGACUGAGAGACGGACCAGACUCCUACGGGAGGCAGCAGUGGGGAAUAUUGCACAAUGGGCGGAGGCCUGAUGCAGCAACGCCGCGUGCGUGAUGACGGCCUUCGGGUUGUAAACCGCUUUCGCCUGUGACGAAGCGUGAGUGACGGUAAUGGGUAAAGAAGCACCGGCUAACUACGUG